Molecule: ribosomal RNA, 253 nt
Filed under: uncultured bacterium
Lineage: Bacteria
Description: partial 16S ribosomal RNA
Rfam family: Bacterial small subunit ribosomal RNA
Source: RNAcentral
UACGGGGGGUGCAAGCGUUAUCCGGAUUUACUGGGCUUAAAGGGUGCGUAGGUGGGUAAGUAAGUCAGUGGUGAAAUCUUCGAGCUUAACUCGGAAACUGCCAUUGAUACUAUUUAUCUUGAAUACUUUGGAGGUAAGCGGAAUAUGUCAUGUAGCGGUGAAAUGCUUAGAUAUGACAUAGAACACCAAUUGCGAAGGCAGCUUACUACACAGUUAUUGACACUGAGGCACGAAAGCGUGGGGAGCAAACAGG